CCUACGGGAGGCAGCAGUGGGGGAUAUUGCUCAAUGGGGGAAACCCUGAUGCAGCGACGCCGCGUGUGGGAAGACGGUCCUCUGGAUUGUAAACCACUGUUCCCAGGGACGAAGAUGACGGUACCUGGGGAGGAAGCUCCGGCUAACUACGUGCCAGCAGCCGCGGUAAUACGUAGGGAGCGAGCGUUGUCCGGAAUUACUGGGUGUAAAGGGAGCGUAGGCGGGGAUGAAAGUUGGGUGUCAAAACUACCGGCUCAACUGGUAGUCGCAGUCGAAACUGCAGCUCUUGAGUGAAGUAGAGGCAGGCGGAAUUCCUAGUGUAGCGGUGAAAUGCGUAGAUAUUAGGAGGAACCCCAGUGGCGAAGGCGGCCUGCUGGGCUCUUACUGACGCUGAGGCACGAAAGUGUGGGGAGCGAACAGGAUUAGAUACCCGGGUAGUC
This 440-nucleotide ribosomal RNA is filed under the name uncultured bacterium. RNAcentral's name for it is "partial 16S ribosomal RNA". It matches the Rfam family "Bacterial small subunit ribosomal RNA", at positions 338 to 795 of the family's 1533-position model. The record is from RNAcentral.